RNAcentral lists this ribosomal RNA (253 nucleotides) under uncultured Oxalicibacterium sp. Its description in RNAcentral is "partial 16S ribosomal RNA". It matches the Rfam family "Bacterial small subunit ribosomal RNA", at positions 524 to 776 of the family's 1533-position model. Lineage: Bacteria; Pseudomonadati; Pseudomonadota; Betaproteobacteria; Burkholderiales; Oxalobacteraceae. The record is from RNAcentral.
UACGUAGGGUGCGAGCGUUAAUCGGAAUUACUGGGCGUAAAGCGUGCGCAGGCGGUUGUGCAAGACAGAUGUGAAAUCCCCGGGCUUAACCUGGGAACUGCAUUUGUGACUGCACGGCUAGAGUGUGUCAGAGGGGGGUAGAAUUCCACGUGUAGCAGUGAAAUGCGUAGAUAUGUGGAGGAAUACCGAUGGCGAAGGCAGCCCCCUGGGUCAAGAUUGACGCUCAUGCACGAAAGCGUGGGGAGCAAACAGG